RNAcentral lists this ribosomal RNA (516 nucleotides) under Triticum aestivum (bread wheat). RNAcentral's name for it is "partial small subunit ribosomal RNA". Lineage: Eukaryota; Viridiplantae; Streptophyta; Magnoliopsida; Poales; Poaceae. The record is from RNAcentral.
AUGCAAUCUUAUGAUGAAAAACUUAAUUUGGAAGUUUCUAUACCUAAAAAACUUAAUGAUGAGUGGGAACCUACUAUAAACAUUAGAAUUAAAGAUCAUGAGUGUUUUUCUUUGUGUGAUUUGGGUGCUAGUGUUUCCAUGAUUCGGAAAACUUUAUGUGAUAUUCUAGGUUUCCAUGAUCUUGACGAUUGCUCUUUCAAUUUGCACCUUGCGGAUUCCACCAUUAAAAAGCCAAUGGGAAGAAUCAAUGAUGUUCUCAUUGUUGCAAAUAGAAAUUUGGUGCCCGUGGAUUUUAUUGUUCUUGAUAUAGAUUGCAAUCUUUCUUGCCCUAUUAUUCUUGGUAGACCUUUCCUUAGAACGAUUGGCGCGAUUAUUGAUAUGAAGGAAGGGAAUAUUAGAUUCCAAUUUUCAUUAAAGAAAGGCAUGGAGCACUUUCCAAGAAAUAAAGUCAAAUUACCUUAUGAAUCUAUCAUGCGGGCUACUUAUAAAUUUAGUGCCAAAGAUGGCACUCGUUAG